UCGGGAAUUUUGGGCAAUGGGCGCAAGCCUGAACCAGCCAUGCCGCGUGCAGGAAGACGGUCCUAUGGAUUGUAAACUGCUUUUAUUUGGGAAUAAACCUCCUUACGUGUAGGGAGCUGAAGGUACCAAAUGAAUAAGCACCGGCUAACUCCGUGCCAGCAGCCGCGGUAAUACGGAGGGUGCAAGCGUUAUCCGGAAUCAUUGGGUUUAAAGGGUCCGCAGGCGGAUUUAUAAGUCAGUGGUGAAAGCCUACAGCUUAACUGUAGAACUGCCAUUGAAACUGUAAGUCUUGAAUUCGGUCGAAGUGGGCGGAAUAUGACAUGUAGCGGUGAAAUGCAUAGAUAUCGUCAAGAACACCGAUAGCGAAGGCAGCUUACCAAGCUGUAACUGACACUGAGGCACGAAAGUGUGGGGAUCAAACAGGAUUAGAUACCCAAGUAGUCCCUGAGCGGGCUGGCAAGGCGCAU
Molecule: ribosomal RNA, 467 nt
Filed under: uncultured bacterium
Lineage: Bacteria
Description: partial 16S ribosomal RNA
Rfam family: Bacterial small subunit ribosomal RNA
Source: RNAcentral